AGACUCUGUGCGCGUGCAUAUCAAUAAGCGGAGGAAAAGAAACUAACAAGGAUUCCCUUAGUAACGGCGAGUGAAGCGGGAAGAGCUCAAAUUUGAAAUCUUCAAGGUUCUACCUUGACGAAUUGUAGUUUAUAGAAGUGUUUUCUGUCAGUGGAGUAGGCAAAAGUUCUUUGGAAUAGGACAUCAUAGAGGGUGAGAAUCCCGUAUUUGGACUAUUCCUUCUAGCGUUGUGAUACACUUUCAAAGAGUCGGAUUGUUUGGGAAUGCAGUCCAAAAUGGGUGGUAAAUUUCAUCUAAAGCUAAAUAUUGGCGAGAGACCGAUAGCGAACAAGUACCGUGAGGGAAAGAUGAAAAGAACUUUGAAAAGAGAGUUAAACAGUACGUGAAAUUGUCAAAAGGGAAGCGUUUGACACCAGUGUUGUUUUUCCGAAAAUCAAUUACGAAUGUUUUGUUUUUAAGAAGUUAUGACUUCAUCGGCUUGCUUCUCUCUUUACGAAGCUUUCUUAAUGCACUUUUCGGUUAACAAGUCAACAUCAAUUUCUUUUGUUGUAAAAGGGUAUGAGGAAGGUGGCCUUUCUUUUCGGAGAAAGUGUUUAUAGCCUUGUGCCUCUACAAUCGGAGAGAUUGAGGUCUGCAGCGUAGAUCCUUCGGGGUUAGAUACGUUUGUACUAAGUUAUAGCUUUUCAUAGACAACUUGUUGACUAUGUUUAGUCUCGUAGCUUACUCGCUGACGCUAUUUUACCUACGCUUAGGAUGUUGAAGUCAUCGUAUCGCGC
This 776-nucleotide ribosomal RNA is filed under the name uncultured Neocallimastigales. RNAcentral's name for it is "partial large subunit ribosomal RNA". It matches the Rfam family "Eukaryotic large subunit ribosomal RNA", at positions 23 to 645 of the family's 3401-position model. Lineage: Eukaryota; Fungi; Neocallimastigomycota; Neocallimastigomycetes; Neocallimastigales. The record is from RNAcentral.